CCUACGGGAGGCAGCAGUGGGGAAUAUUGCACAAUGGGCGAAACCCUGAUGCAGCAACGCCGCGUGAGUGAUGACGGUCUUCGGAUUGUAAAACUCUGUCUUCAGGGACGAUAAUGACGGUACCUGAGGAGGAAGCCAGGGCUAACUACGUGCCAGCAGCCGCGGUAAU
Molecule: ribosomal RNA, 169 nt
Filed under: uncultured Bacillota bacterium
Lineage: Bacteria; Bacillati; Bacillota
Description: uncultured Firmicutes bacterium partial 16S ribosomal RNA
Rfam family: Bacterial small subunit ribosomal RNA
Source: RNAcentral